AGGCUCGUAGCUCAACCGGCAGAGCGUCCGACUCCAAAUCGGAAGGUUGGGGGUUCAAGUCCUCCCGGGCCUG
This 73-nucleotide transfer RNA is filed under the name Candidatus Acetothermia bacterium. Its description in RNAcentral is "tRNA-Trp". It matches the Rfam family "tRNA". Rfam says of the family: Transfer RNA (tRNA) molecules are approximately 80 nucleotides in length. Lineage: Bacteria; Candidatus Bipolaricaulota. RNAcentral also lists the same sequence under 1 other name. The record is from RNAcentral.